RNAcentral lists this non-coding RNA (46 nucleotides) under Schistosoma curassoni. The record is from RNAcentral. Lineage: Eukaryota; Metazoa; Platyhelminthes; Trematoda; Strigeidida; Schistosomatidae.
GCACUGCUGAUGAGUCCCACACUAGGACGAAACGGCUGUCCAGUGC